GACGAACGCUGGCGGCGUGCUUAACACAUGCAAGUCGAACGGAAAGGCCCUGCUUUUGUGGGGUGCUCGAGUGGCGAACGGGUGAGUAACACGUGAGUAACCUGCCCUUGACUUUGGGAUAACUUCAGGAAACUGGGGCUAAUACCGGAUAGGAGCUCCUGCUGCAUGGUGGGGGUUGGAAAGUUUCGGCGGUUGGGGAUGGACUCGCGGCUUAUCAGCUUGUUGGUGGGGUAGUGGCUUACCAAGGCUUUGACGGGUAGCCGGCCUGAGAGGGUGACCGGCCACAUUGGGACUGAGAUACGGCCCAGACUCCUACGGGAGGCAGCAGUGAGGAAUAUUGCACAAUGGGCGGAAGCCUGAUGCAGCAACGCCGCGUGCGGGAUGACGGCCUUCGGGUUGUAAUCCGCUUUCGCCUGUGACGAAGCGUGAGUGACGGUAAUGGGUAAAGAAGCACCGGCUAACUACGUG
This 468-nucleotide ribosomal RNA is filed under the name uncultured bacterium. RNAcentral describes it as "partial 16S ribosomal RNA". It matches the Rfam family "Bacterial small subunit ribosomal RNA", at positions 28 to 507 of the family's 1533-position model. The record is from RNAcentral.